Molecule: unclassified non-coding RNA, 270 nt
Filed under: fungal sp.
Lineage: Eukaryota; Fungi
Description: partial internal transcribed spacer region
Rfam family: Eukaryotic small subunit ribosomal RNA (bases 1-46)
Source: RNAcentral
AAGUCGUAACAAGGUCUCCGUAGGUGAACCUGCGGAGGGAUCAUUAACACGUUUUUCAAACGUUUUUCAACCAAAAAACCGGAAACGAAAAAGUGUUGAAAAGUCAACAAUGGCAUUCAUUUGCCCUGUUUUCUUUUCCCUUUUUUUCUUCUCAACCCUUUUCCAAUCAUAACAAUGAAUUGACCUGUACUGUCAUUCCUCUUCACUGAGUGAUGAAAGUUGAUAUCAUAAUUGAGAGCACAACUCUUAGCAACGGAUAUCUUGGUUCUC